CAGAGGUUUAACUAACAUGAUCAAGAUCUCCUAACCAGUUAAGUGGUGAAGUUGGAAUUUUUACCCAAGUCUGUUUGCUAAAUGUAUGCUCUUCAUCAUUACAUCUACAUAGGACCAGCUACAUAACUUGUAGUGCCCAGUGCAAAAUGAAAAUGCACCCUAGGCUGUGAUCCUGGAACUGAACAUCUGAUGAGUCAAUACAGGGCACGGAGUAGUGCUCUUCUCCCUGAACCAUGAGACCUGCAUCUCAGGUUGCAGAAAACAUGUGGAGCAGAGGUACAGAGCCUUCACUUUGCUGCAGCAACAAAUAAAGACUUUGAAGUCCUCCAUUGGAUCUUCUCGGAAGAUGAGGGAAAUGAGAGAGUGUGGAGAGAGAUUUUGUAAGUCCGGUCUGGAAGUGGUCAUUGUUCAGAAUCCAGCCACGUGGGUACAUGGAACUGUAAGAAUAUGUUCUGUGGACACUACAGAUGCAGAUUAAAUCACCUGCAAAGUGAAUCUGUCAGCCCUAACAAUAAGAAUAGCUCUUUUAUGAUGAGCAGGUGAGACCAGGUAAUUACCGAAGAAAGAGAGUGAUGUGUUCAUUGAAGUCUACUCAUGGAGGAAAGAAGGU
Molecule: long non-coding RNA, 610 nt
Organism: Homo sapiens (human)
Lineage: Eukaryota; Metazoa; Chordata; Mammalia; Primates; Hominidae
Gene: CASC16
Product: cancer susceptibility 16
Source: Ensembl